Molecule: ribosomal RNA, 301 nt
Filed under: uncultured bacterium
Lineage: Bacteria
Description: bacterial SSU rRNA
Rfam family: Bacterial small subunit ribosomal RNA
Source: RNAcentral
GGCCUACGGGGCGCAGCAGUGGGGAAUAUUGCACAAUGGAGGGAACCCUGAUGCAGCAAUGCCGCGUGGGUGAAGAAGCACUCCGGUGCGUAAAGCCCUGUCAGCAGGGAAGAAAAUGACAGUACCUGGACAAGAAGCCCCGGCUAACUACGUGCCAGCAGCCGCGGUAAUACGUAGGUGGCGAGCGUUAUCCGGAAUGAUUGGGCGUAAAGGGUGCGUAGGCGGCCUGCUAAGUCUGGAGUGAAAGGUACCGGCUCAACCGGUACAGGCUCUGGAAACUGGCGGGCUAGAGAGCAGGAGA